Molecule: ribosomal RNA, 569 nt
Filed under: uncultured Actinobacillus sp.
Lineage: Bacteria; Pseudomonadati; Pseudomonadota; Gammaproteobacteria; Pasteurellales; Pasteurellaceae
Description: bacterial SSU rRNA
Rfam family: Bacterial small subunit ribosomal RNA
Source: RNAcentral
CGGACGGGUGAGUAAUGCUUGGGAAUCUGGCUUAUGGAGGGGGAUAACUACGGGAAACUGUAGCUAAUACCGCGUAAUAUCUUCGGAUUAAAGGGUGGGACUUUCGGGCCACCUGCCAUAAGAUGAGCCCAAGUGGGAUUAGGUAGUUGGUGGGGUAAAGGCCUACCAAGCCGACGAUCUCUAGCUGGUCUGAGAGGAUGACCAGCCACACUGGAACUGAGACACGGUCCAGACUCCUACGGGAGGCAGCAGUGGGGAAUAUUGCACAAUGGGGGGAACCCUGAUGCAGCCAUGCCGCGUGAAUGAAGAAGGCCUUCGGGUUGUAAAGUUCUUUCGGUGAUGAGGAAGGUGUUUGUUUUAAUAGAGCAAGCAAUUGACGUUAGUCACAGAAGAAGCACCGGCUAACUCCGUGGCAGCAGCCGCGGUAAUACGGAGGGUGCGAGCGUUAAUCGGAAUGACUGGGCGUAAAGGGCACGCAGGCGGUGACUUAAGUGAGAUGUGAAAGCCCCGAGCUUAACUUGGGAAUUGCAUUUCAUACUGGGUCGCUAGAGUACUUUAGGGAGGGGUAG